Molecule: long non-coding RNA, 3228 nt
Organism: Rhea pennata
Lineage: Eukaryota; Metazoa; Chordata; Aves; Rheiformes; Rheidae
Exons: 3
Source: RefSeq, a predicted model, not a curated record
GUGUUUAUUUACAGCAAAAAUUAUUCUCAUACUCUUCUAUGAGCAAAAUAUCCCUUUCUAAAUUAUGCUAGUCUCAUUUAUAGUGGACACAGACUAUUUGGCAAGAUAUUGGUAAUUAUUCUCACUAAUGAGCUACUAAAUUGUAAUUUAGUAUUAUAAGUGCAGUGACAAAGAACGUGAAUAACUUACAACAUGCAAACAGUAAAGUGAAAAUAGACGUAUGAAUGUAAUUUUGAAAAUAGAAAAGGAUACCUGAAAAUUCGAACAUGAGCCUCCUGACUGGAAACCACAUCACCCGAGCAGUGUGGCUGCGCUACGGCCAACAACAGCUUUGAUUCUGUUGGACUCUUAAAAAUUUGCCUCUAGUCACAUGCAGUGACUUCCUCUGAAAUGCGUGUUAGUUCUGUCACUCAGCACCAGGAGAGCAGAAUGAGGCCCCAGGUAUUGCUAUGGCAGCUAAAGGGAGGAAGAGGGAGGGAGGAAGGCUCCUCCAGAGCGGUGUGGUGUGCGAGAUCGUACAGAAAUGCUGGAUGUUCUGACGGCAGUCUUGAAAAAAAAGCAGCAGCGGUUCUUGCAAAACCAGAUCGCCUCAGUGAGGGUCCCAAAUGACUCAGAUCCAGCUUUCUCUGAUAAAUUUUCAAAUGACUAAAGAUAACUCUAGGCCAUUCUUUUCUCAUAUAUCAGCUGAGUAUCAGCUCUUUUCAAAAACCAUUCUUGAAACGGAGGUCGUCUCUGGUAAGAUGCCUUCAGAACUCUUAACUCUUCUCUACAAGUAAAGACCUAAUGAUACGGAUUUUUUUAAACAAAAAUACAGAAUUUUUAGAGUAAUUGAAAUCAAAUACGUUGGCAGAUGCAUAAGAGAGUAUUUGCAAUUUGAAUAUUGUCUCUUCCCGAGAAGUUUUUUUUUUUUGUAGUAUUCCUGCUUUAUUCGAGAAGUUUUCUGCUGAGUGCACUACUACACCCUCAGCUGUCAAUGCCAUGAAUUACUGCGUACAGGAACAGAAGAGCUGCUGUUUUCUUCCUCUAGGUGGAAAACUGGAUAUAGAGAGCUGAUAAACAGAAUUUGACCUUCGUGCUCAUGUGGACCCAUGCUACCGCCUCUGAAGAUCAGCACCCCUAUCACAAGGAGGCAACUACACUCUUCAUGAACUCAGUCAGGAGCAGCACAUUUCCUGUGCCAGCCAAAUGGUUAAAUCCAGGCACUGUGGAUUUUUUCUGCAGCCAAAGGAGAUUUAUUCAAUGGGAUUUAAGCUUUUGUUUUAUUUUUCAAGUCUUCCUUGAAAUGUAGCUGAUGGAAUAUUAUACAAGAAGUAAAGAGAACAAUAAGGAGAGAACAAUAAGGAAAGGACAAUAUGGAAAAGUCUCGUGUGAACUAUUCAUUUUGAUCACUGAUUUUUCAAGCCAGUCAACAGUGCGAUGAAAAUGUAGAUGUUUGCCAUUGCAGUGGUCGCUCAGACAGUACUAGCUUUUGUGUCUGCCUGGUGACGUACACCGAAGAAAAACUGCUGCCUGGGGAAUACAGACACAAGCCCUUGUUGUCGCUCCUCGGCACUUCCCACAUGCUUAGAAACUUGGGGCUCUACACACGCGAGAGGGAAGGAAAAAGAAGCUGCAGAAGGCAGCUGCCACGUCUUGACCCCCUGGAUGUGCUGUCUUUACACGUUCCUUGCCGAGACUGCUAACGGUAGUGGGAUGUAUUGAAAGGCAGGACAACGCCGUGCGCCAGCAAAUGUGGGUUAUAAUGCUAAAACUCUGGGUAGCCAUAUAUUUGUUGACAAAGUGACUUUUUUGACAAAAAUCUAGCUGAACCAAGUUAUAGUAACUGCUGUAGCAAAGAACAGCGCGUGCACGUACGUCCUGGGCUGUCUGGAAACCAAGCCCUUACGCACAAGUGACGUGACCUGUGGCAGAAAGGAAACUGAAUUGACUGCUUCAGAUAAAAUCUUGUCAUGUUAUUAUCAAUAUCUGUGUGCUGGUACUUUGCUCUGAGAUAAAGAUGAGAAGUUUUCGUUGUGUGUUUUGUUGAAAGAAGCAGCAUUUGUUCCCUCUGGCUCUGAGAAACGUCUAGACGCCAGGACGAAGCACACUUGGUUGAAUUCCCAGCUCUGCUUUGGCUGCCAGCGUCAGGAAGGCUCCUUUGGACUGUACUUCACUGCAGCAUGAAUGUGACUUUCUUGUCUUUCCAUCGGUAACCAAAAAGUGGUUUACGUGAGUCUGAACGUGUUGUAACAACUUACAUGUUAAAACAUGCAAGAGCUUCUCUAGACAGAGAGAUUCAGAAAGCUGAAGCAAAGCAUUUAGGGUGAUACACAUAAAUGAGAAGUUUUAGCGCCUCUAUGAUUUCUUUCUGAUUCAUAUGUGAAUAAAAUGACCUUAGCUCAGGUUAUUUCAGUAGCAAUCUAAAAGUAUGCCUUUCCCUCCAGGAGAUUACAGGUAAGAAAUGCAUAUGCCAGCCAAAGGUUCUCACUUUUUGGUAGGAUGUCAUCUUGGGAACUACUGAAGUAAUGUAAUAUUUAUCCUGCAAGAUGUAAGCUCUUUCAGACUUCAAUAUUAUUUUAUUGAAUUUUAUUGACGUUUUAACUGUUUCAAUGUUUCCACAUAACAGAAAUAUGGACAUAGGUCAAAAUCGUGGCUCUACUGAAUACUGUGAAGCAAGGAUUUCUCUAGAAGAUUUUUACUUAAAGGAUGACAAUGUUUUCAAUCUUUGCAAAGAAAUAGUUGGUGUGAAAUAUUCUUUGGGUCACAACAGCUACAGUGAAGACAAGAAUCUUGACUAUGAAGCAGUUUCAGCUUAGUCAAGAGAGAGAAUUUUUUUUUUUUAGUCAGCUUCCCAUCCAAACUGCCACGGCCUUGGUUUAUUUCUCUUGCUGUCAUCUCCCGAUGUUUUCAUUUUUCUUGAAGUUUUCUGCUAAAUUUAUGUUGUUUUGACGUAAAGAUAUGUUUUGAUAACUUCUUGAAUAUGCUUCAGUUUGUUUGGACAGACAUUAUGGAAGAAAAAUAUAUUUAUAUAGAAAUGUUUAUUUGUAGUGGCAGUUUUGUAAUUUUUGAUGUGUAUAUUUAAUAGUGUGCCUGUUAUUUAUGAUGUAGUUUUGUGUUCUAGCUUAGAAUUCUGCAUCUCUGUUUAGAUCUGACCACUCUGCAUUCUUUUUAUUGACGAAAUUUUAACCUCGCUGACCCGUAAAAAUCCUCAUAAGCUCGAAUUCUUUGCAAGGUCUUCUAAGCAAAACA